GACGAACGCUGGCGGCGUGCCUAAUACAUGCAAGUAGAACGCUGAAGCUUGGUGCUUGCACCGAGCGGAUGAGUUGCGAACGGGUGAGUAACGCGUAGGUAACCUGCCUGGUAGCGGGGGAUAACUAUUGGAAACGAUAGCUAAUACCGCAUAAUAGUAGAUGUUGCAUGACAUUUGCUUAAAAGGUGCAAUUGCAUCACUACCAGAUGGACCUGCGUUGUAUUAGCUAGUUGGUGAGGAACGGCUCACCAAGGCAACGAUACAUAGCCGACCUGAGAGGGUGAUCGGCCACACUGGGACUGAGACACGGCCCAGACUCCUACGGGAGGCAGCAGUAGGGAAUCUUCGGCAAUGGACGGAAGUCUGACCGAGCAACGCCGCGUGAGUGAAGAAGGUUGUCGGAUCGUAAAGCUCUGUUGUAAGAGAAGAACGAGUGUGAGAGUGGAAAGUUCACACUGUGACGGUAUCUUACCAGAAAGGGACGGCUAACUACGUG
This 496-nucleotide ribosomal RNA is filed under the name uncultured bacterium. RNAcentral's name for it is "partial 16S ribosomal RNA". It matches the Rfam family "Bacterial small subunit ribosomal RNA", at positions 28 to 507 of the family's 1533-position model. The record is from RNAcentral.